UGGGGAAUAUUGGACAAUGGGCGCAAGCCUGAUCCAGCCAUGCCGCGUGAGUGAUGAAGGCCCUAGGGUUGUAAAGCUCUUUCAACGGUGAAGAUAAUGACGGUAACCGUAGAAGAAGCCCCGGCUAACUUCGUGCCAGCAGCCGCGGUAAUACGAAGGGGGCUAGCGUUGUUCGGAUUUACUGGGCGUAAAGCGCACGUAGGCGGAUCGUUAAGUGAGGGGUGAAAUCCCAGGGCUCAACCCUGGAACUGCCUUUCAUACUGGCGAUCUGGAGUUCGAGAGAGGUGAGUGGAAUUCCGAGUGUAGAGGUGAAAUUCGUAGAUAUUUGGAGGAACACCAGUGGCGAAGGCGGCUCACUGGCUCGAUACUGACGCUGAGGUGCGAAAGUGUGGGGAGCAAACAGGAUUAGAUACCCUGGUAGUCCACACCGUAAACGAUGAAUGCCAGUCGUCGGGUAGCAUGCUAUUCGGUGACACACCUAACGGAUUAAGCAUUCCGCCUGGGGAGUACGGUCGC
This 516-nucleotide ribosomal RNA is filed under the name uncultured bacterium. RNAcentral's name for it is "bacterial SSU rRNA". It matches the Rfam family "Bacterial small subunit ribosomal RNA", at positions 355 to 889 of the family's 1533-position model. The record is from RNAcentral.